This 406-nucleotide ribosomal RNA is filed under the name uncultured bacterium. RNAcentral's name for it is "partial 16S ribosomal RNA". It matches the Rfam family "Bacterial small subunit ribosomal RNA", at positions 29 to 526 of the family's 1533-position model. The record is from RNAcentral.
AUUGAACGCUGGCGGCAGGCCUAACACAUGCAAGUCGAACGAGUGGCGGACGGGUGAGUAAUGUCUGGGAAACUGCCCGAUGGAGGGGGAUAACUACUGGAAACGGUAGCUAAUACCGCAUACCCUCGGAUGUGCCCAGACGGGAUUAGCUAGUCGGUGGGGUAACGGCUCACCUAGGCGACGAUCCCUAGCUGGUCUGAGAGGAUGACCUGCCCCACUGGAACUGGGCACCGGGCCAGACCCCGACGGGAGGCAGCAGUGGGGAAUAUUGCACAAUGGUCGCAAGCCUGAUGCAGCCAUGCCGCGUGGAUGAAGAAGGCCUUCGGGUUGUAAAGUACUUUCAGCGAGGAGGCGUUACGCGCAGAAGAAGCACCGGCUAACUCCGUGCCAGCAGCCGCGGUAAUAC